AGAUUGAGUUGAAACCUUUCUCUUUAAUGAUCGUUCCCCUCUCAGCACAUUCAUGCUCCCAAGUUUCUUUGUUUAUGGGCAUUCUUCUUGGCCUUGCACUCAGAUUCUGAGUUGGGCAAAGUUCCCAAAGCUAUGGAAAAUGAAGGAGAGCCUUUCACUUCCAAUAACAAAGCAAAUUUAUGGUACUUCAUCGAUGAAGGGAUUGAAUUGAAAAGCUUUAGACUAUGCCUCAAAUGGGUAUUCCAAGAUCAAUCUAAUAUUUGGACCACUGCUCUCUCGUGGUCCAUCUUCUUGCUCCUGGCAAUUGGCGUUCCUAUCGUGUCUCACUUCGCUUUUUUGUGCUCAAAUUGCGAUUCAAACCACCAAUGACCUUACGAUGCAGUGGUGCAGUUAUCUCUUUCGGUAUUUGCUAUAAUUUCAUUUUUGAGUCUAUCUUCUUGGUCUCGCAAGUAUGGUGUAAGAAGAUUCCUCUUCUUGGACAAAUUAGAUGAUCAAAGUGAGAGAAUUCGGAGAGAAUAUAAACAACAGCUCCAGAGAUCAAUGAAGCUGCUCUGCAAUUUUGUCCUCCCCUGCUUUGCUGCAGAGAGUGCCUACCGAAUAUGGUGGUAUGUCACAGGAAACACCCAAAUACCCUACUAUGGAAAAAUGUAUGCCAGGGACACAAUUCUGUGCAUGUUGCAGCUAUGCUCUUGGGUGUAUCGAAUAUCAAUUUACAUCCUUGUCUGCAUUCUCUACCAACUGAUUUGCUAUUUGCAAGUACUUAGUCUUGAGGAGUUUGCUCUAGUCUUUCAAAAGGAAAGUGAUGUGGGUUCAAUCUUGAGGGAGCACCUCCGAAUCAGAAGAAAUCUUCGCAUCAUAAGCCAUAGGUUUCGAAGGUUCAUCUUGCUGUCUCUGGUUUUGGUCACUGCAAGUCAGUUAAUUUCAUUGCUGGUGACCACCCGUUCCAGUGCUCAUAACAACAUAUUCGAGGCUGGAGAACUCGCGUUGUGCUCCAUAAAUUUGGUGACGGGCCUCUUCAUAUGCUUGCGAAGCGCUACAAAAAUCACCCACAGAGCACAGUCCGUGACAAGCCUUGCUACAAAGUGGCAUGUAUGUGCCACAAUAAACUCUUAUGAUGACAUGGACGGUGAGACCCUAGGGGAUCAGACUAGUGCUUGCAGCCACCAUGUAUUUCCUGUGGACAUUUAUUGGGUUUUGGAUGAUGAUGAUGACAAUGGAGAUGAAGAUAUUGAUAAUAGCACCAAAAUGGUACCAAUUUUUGCGUAUACAAUCUCAUUCCAGAGGAGACAGGCCUUAGUGACAUAUCUGGAAAACAAUAGGGCAGGCAUGACAGUUUACGAGUUCAUGAUGGACAGAACAUGGCUCCAUACCAUAUUUGGGAUUGAACUAGCUCUACUACUUUGGUUGCUCAACAAGACAAUAGUGAAUUGGACAUGAAAGCGGCAAGACUCCAGUGAUGCAAGGAACUAUAAAUUUGGCAGUACUGCGAGUUCAUUUGGCCAAGUGUUAUCGGCUUGAGACUAUGACAUUGUGUGUAUGUAAUAAAAUGAGUUCAUUUGGUUAUCAUUUUUGUUAAUAUGCGAACCGUUAAAUCUAUAUACAGUUUGUGAAUCAUUGACAAGUUUUUGUGAAAUUAAACAAAAAGGCCAUUGGAUUUAUAACUA
This is an RNA transcript of Hevea brasiliensis (rubber tree), 1664 nucleotides long. RefSeq lists it as uncharacterized. The record is from RefSeq and is a predicted model, not a curated record. NCBI's taxonomy places the organism in Eukaryota, Viridiplantae, Streptophyta, Magnoliopsida, Malpighiales, Euphorbiaceae. The transcript has 5 exons.